UACAGAGGGGGCAAGCGUUGUUCGGAUUUACUGGGCGUAAAGGGCGCGUAGGCGGCCACCGCAAGUCGAUUGUGAAAUCUCCGGGCUUAACCCGGAAAGGUCAACCGAUACUGCGGGGCUAGAGUGCAGAAGGGGCAACUGGAAUUCUCGGUGUAGCGGUGAAAUGCGUAGAUAUCGAGAGGAACACCUGCGGCGAAGGCGGGUUGCUGGGCUGACACUGACGCUGAAGUGCGAAAGCUAGGGGAGCGAACGGG
This 254-nucleotide ribosomal RNA is filed under the name uncultured bacterium. RNAcentral's name for it is "partial 16S ribosomal RNA". It matches the Rfam family "Bacterial small subunit ribosomal RNA", at positions 524 to 776 of the family's 1533-position model. The record is from RNAcentral.